AACGAACGCUGGCGGCGUGCUUAACACAUGCAAGUCGAACGUGAUUCAGAGCUUGCUCUGAUGAAAGUGGCGCACGGGUGAGUAACACGUGGAUAAUCUGCCUGGCGAUUCGGGAUAACACUUCGAAAGGGGUGCUAAUACCCGAAUAAGCCCACGGUCUCUUAGGGGAGCGCGGGAAAAGGGGGCCUCUGUAUAUGCUUCCUGUUCGCUAGAUGAGUCCGCGGCCCAUUAGCUAGUUGGUAGGGUAAUGGCCUACCAAGGCGACGAUGGGUAGCUGGUCUGAGAGGAUGAUCAGCCACACUGGAACUGAGACACGGUCCAGACACCUACGGGGUGGCUG
This 340-nucleotide ribosomal RNA is filed under the name uncultured Pseudomonadota bacterium. RNAcentral's name for it is "bacterial SSU rRNA". It matches the Rfam family "Bacterial small subunit ribosomal RNA", at positions 29 to 351 of the family's 1533-position model. The record is from RNAcentral. Lineage: Bacteria; Pseudomonadati; Pseudomonadota.